Molecule: ribosomal RNA, 1040 nt
Filed under: Platypodinae sp. BMNH 1274714
Lineage: Eukaryota; Metazoa; Arthropoda; Insecta; Coleoptera; Curculionidae
Description: 16S ribosomal RNA
Rfam family: Archaeal large subunit ribosomal RNA (bases 831-989)
Source: RNAcentral
CCCGAAUUAAAAAGAGCUAAAUUAAUAUAUAUAUUAUUGUUACAUAAUUACUUAAAAUUUUAGUUUAGAUGUUAUAUGCAAUUCAAUUUUUAAAAUAUCUGGUUUUUUUAUAAAUAAGUUUAAUUUAUUUAUUAAAUUGAAAAUUAUUAAAUGUUUAUUAUUUUUUUUUUAAUAUUAAUAUUUUAAGGGAUGAGCUUUAAAGUAUAUUAUACAAAUUAUUUUUUUUUACAAUUAUUUAGGAUUAAAAAUUUUCAUUUUUAAAAGUUUUUUAUUAUUUUUUUGUUAUUUUUUUUGAUUUAUAUAUAAUUUUAUUUUUUUAAGAAAAUAUUUUUUUUAAUUUUUUAAAAAAUUAAAUAAUGAUAGAAUUAGUAUUUUAAUUUGUUAUUAUAUUUUAUUUUUAUAAUUUAAAUAAAGGAAUUCGGCAAAAAUUUUACUCACCUGUUUAAUAAAAACAUGUCUUUUUGAUUUUAAUUUUAAGUUUAACCUGCCCAAUGAAUAUUUAAUGGCUGCAGUAUAUUGACUGUACAAAGGUAGCAUAAUAAAUAGUUUUUUAAUUGAAAGCUGGUAUGAAAGGUUGGAUGAAGUAAAUACUGUCUCUGUUUAAUAUAAAUAAUUUUAUUUUUAAGUUAAAAAGCUUAAAUAAUUAAAGAAGACGAUAAGACCCUAUAGAAUUUUAUAUUUUUAUUUUUUUAAUUUAUAGGUAUUUAAAUUUAAAUCUAUAAAAUUAUUUUAUUGGGGAGAUAGAAAAAUUUAAUUAACUUUUUAUUUGUUUACAUUUAUUUUUGAAAAUAUGAUCCUUUAUUUAAGAUUAUAAGAAAAAUUACCUUAGGGAUAACAGCGUAAUUUUUUUUAAGAGUUCUAAUCGAAAGAAAAGUUUGCGACCUCGAUGUUGGAUUAAAAUUAAUUUAGGGUGUAGGGGCUCUACAAUUAGGUCUGUUCGACCUUUAAAAUUUUACAUGAUCUGAGUUUAGACCGGCGUGAGCCAGGUUGGUUUCUAUCUCUUUAUAUUUAAUAUUUUUUAGUACGAAAGGACCAAAAAU